AAAAACUCCGGUGGUAUGAGAUGGGCCCGCGUCUGAUUAGCUAGUUGGCGGGGUAACGGCCCACCAAGGCAACGAUCAGUAGCCGACCUGAGAGGGCGACCGGCCACAUUGGGACUGAGACACGGCCCAAACUCCUACGGGAGGCAGCAGUGGGGAAUAUUGCACAACGGGGGAAACCCUGAUGCAGCGACGCCGCGUGAGCGAUGAAGUAUUUCGGUAUGUAAAGCUCUAUCAGCAGGGAAGAAGAUGACGGUACCUGACUAAGAAGCCCCGGCUAACUACGUGCCAGCAGCCGCGGUAAUACGUAGGGGGCAAGCGUUAUCCGGAUUUACUGGGUGUAAAGGGAGCGUAGACGGCGGUGCAAGCCAGAUGUGAAAGCCCGGGGCUCAACCCCGGGACUGCAUUUGGAACUGUAUGGCUGGAGUGUCGGAGAGGCAGGCGGAAUUCCUAGUGUAGCGGUGAAAUGCGUAGAUAUUAGGAGGAACACCAGUGGCGAAGGCGGCCUGCUGGACGAUGACUGACGUUGAGGCUCGAAAGCGUGGGGAGCAAACAGGAUUAGAUACCCUGGUAGUCCACGCCGUAAACGAUGACUACUAGGUGUCGGGCAGCAAAGCUGUUCG
RNAcentral lists this ribosomal RNA (620 nucleotides) under uncultured bacterium. Its description in RNAcentral is "bacterial SSU rRNA". It matches the Rfam family "Bacterial small subunit ribosomal RNA", at positions 202 to 842 of the family's 1533-position model. The record is from RNAcentral.